GCGCAGUCCUUUGGGUAGAGGAUCCUAGGUGAUAGAGGCAGCCCAAGAUACGUUGUUGGGAAGGUCCCUUCCUUGAACCUUAGACAUGCCAGUAAUUGAUCCUUAUUCUUUGUGGAAUUUGAAAAGAACACCUCACUCUUCGGGUCACUUACGCUCAGACCUGUCCUAGAUUCGAAGACUUUAAACACUCCAUCGAUGGCUUUGAAGGAAUCCUCCUUGGCCUUGCAGAAAAUCAAAAGAUCGUCCGCAUAGAUCAAGUGUGAUAUUCCUAUCACG
This 276-nucleotide long non-coding RNA is filed under the name Zostera marina. RNAcentral's name for it is "long non-coding RNA (ZMAR_LNC005944)". Lineage: Eukaryota; Viridiplantae; Streptophyta; Magnoliopsida; Alismatales; Zosteraceae. The record is from RNAcentral.